Molecule: long non-coding RNA, 401 nt
Organism: Pseudopipra pipra
Lineage: Eukaryota; Metazoa; Chordata; Aves; Passeriformes; Pipridae
Exons: 3
Source: RefSeq, a predicted model, not a curated record
ACAGGCAACAAGAAGAACUGACAAGAUUAAUGCAAAGACUUAGGUUUUGUCAUCUUCCAAUUCCAAAUUCUGCGAUAUUAUUAGUUUUUACUGUUCUGGAACAACCAAAUUUCCUUAGGAGACUUCAAACAGAUCUGCAGUUUCAAGCACAGAGAGGUCAAUCAGAAGCAAUCCAGAUGAAGAUUAGAACUCCUCUGCUGCUCAGAAAAGAUACAAAGAACAGUGGUUGUUGGAAAAAGGAGUGAAGAAAAAUCCUGUUUUAAAAGAUGACCCUGCCUUGAGUGAGUGAGCAGUACUUUGGUUCAGGCAUCACAGACAAGAAGGCCUGACAGCUCAGCCCUGGUGUGCAAAAUAGAUUUUUGGACAAACAACAACACAACACAAAAACUCUUCUUACUUUC